This 393-nucleotide ribosomal RNA is filed under the name uncultured bacterium. RNAcentral describes it as "partial 16S ribosomal RNA". It matches the Rfam family "Bacterial small subunit ribosomal RNA", at positions 523 to 918 of the family's 1533-position model. The record is from RNAcentral.
AUACGGAGGAUCCGAGCGUUAUCCGGAUUUAUUGGGUUUAAAGGGUGCGUAGGUGGUUUGAUAAGUCAGCGGUGAAAGUUUGCAGCUUAACUGUAAAAAUGCCGUUGAAACUGUGGGACUUGAGUGUACAUGAGGUAGGCGGAAUGCGUGGUGUAGCGGUGAAAUGCAUAGAUAUCACGCAGAACUCCGAUUGCGAGGGCAUCUUACAAAGAUUCAACUGUCAGUGAAGCACGAAAGCGUGGGGAUCAAACAGGAUUAGAUACCCUGGUAGGCCACGCAGUAAACGAUGAUUACUAGCUGUUUGCGAUACACAGUAAGCGGCACAGCGAAAGCGUUAAGUAAUCCACCUGGGGAGUACGCCAGCAACGGUGAAACUCAAAGGAAUUGGCGGGG